RNAcentral lists this ribosomal RNA (437 nucleotides) under Heteroonops sp. 3 GJB-2020. Its description in RNAcentral is "partial large subunit ribosomal RNA". It matches the Rfam family "Archaeal large subunit ribosomal RNA", at positions 1908 to 2671 of the family's 2987-position model. The record is from RNAcentral. Lineage: Eukaryota; Metazoa; Arthropoda; Arachnida; Araneae; Oonopidae.
ACUUUAAGAAAAUAACUUAAAGCUUUUCCUGCUCAAUGAAUAUUAUAUAGCCGCAGUUUUCCUGUGCUAAGGUAGCAUAAUAAAUAGUCUACUAAUUGUAGAAUAGAAUGAAAGGAUACACGAAUAUUUUUCUUUAUUAACCUUUUUACUAAAAUUUACAUUAAAUGUAAAAAUUCAUUUCCCAUUUUAAGAAAGACGAUAAGACCCUAAAGAACUUAAACUUUAGUUUCACUGGGGUGGUUACUAACUAAAUCUUACUUCUUUUUAAAAAUUUUCCUACACAUAUAUUUAAUUAAAGUUACCUUAGGGAUAACAGCACAAUUUUUGUUAAAAGCUCAUAUUUCAACAAAAGAUUAUGACCUCGAUGUUGAAUUGAAUUAACUUAUUUAAGAAAAAGUUUAAAAAGUAAGUCUGUUCGACUUUUAAAACUUCACAUG